AGCCAGAUGAUGAAAGCGACUGGAAAUCCAACGCCGAAUACACAAUGUGGAUUACACAGACGAGCUUUUUAAUUCUGAUGGCUA
RNAcentral lists this small nucleolar RNA (84 nucleotides) under Coccomyxa subellipsoidea C-169. The record is from RNAcentral. Lineage: Eukaryota; Viridiplantae; Chlorophyta; Trebouxiophyceae; Coccomyxaceae.